RNAcentral lists this ribosomal RNA (273 nucleotides) under uncultured bacterium. RNAcentral's name for it is "partial 16S ribosomal RNA". It matches the Rfam family "Bacterial small subunit ribosomal RNA", at positions 85 to 354 of the family's 1533-position model. The record is from RNAcentral.
CCGCCGGCGACCGGCGCNCGGGUGAGUAACACGUAUGCAACCUGGCCGUGACAGAUGGAUAACCGGGAGAAAUCCCGCCUAAUACAACAUAAUGCCGGGAGGGGACAUCCCCUGCCGGCCAAAGGGGGCGACCCCGGUCACGGAUGGGCAUGCGGCGCAUUAGGUAGUUGGUGGGGCAACGGCCCACCAAGCCGACGAUGCGUAGGGGUUCUGAGAGGAAGGUCCCCCACAUUGGAACUGAGACACGGUCCAAACUCCUACGGAAGGCAGCAG